GUAGAGUAGCCUCUCGCUGCAUCCUGCGGUGGACAUCCAACCCGGCCCACAUCCAAGUGUGACGUCAGAAGCCACCACGCCCAUGCCCAAAUUGGACACAUUCUCAUUAACGAAGAAGCAUCGAGAAGAGAAGACUAGAAGACGAAGGAGUACUACAAUUUUGAAAGCAAGUGAUUGUUUGCCAUGUCGCAUCCUACACAUUUUCAGUUCAAGCCUGUUGCAGAUCAAUACUGCCUGGAUGGGUGGUUUGAAUGUCCCCGCUGCAGUUUUAUGACUAAAGAGAAAUUCUCAUUUUCUAUUCAUCUUGAGAACCAUAUAAGUCAUGCAGUGGAGCAUGGAGGUAUGGUGGGAGCAUUUCUCUAGAUAUUGAUACAUUUUUGUGGUUUUAAAUCACAAAUAUGUUUGUAUAAUCUAAAUAUGUACUUGCAUCUCAAA
Molecule: long non-coding RNA, 435 nt
Organism: Xyrauchen texanus (razorback sucker)
Lineage: Eukaryota; Metazoa; Chordata; Actinopteri; Cypriniformes; Catostomidae
Exons: 3
Source: RefSeq, a predicted model, not a curated record